RNAcentral lists this ribosomal RNA (253 nucleotides) under uncultured bacterium. RNAcentral describes it as "partial 16S ribosomal RNA". It matches the Rfam family "Bacterial small subunit ribosomal RNA", at positions 524 to 776 of the family's 1533-position model. The record is from RNAcentral.
UACGGAGGGGGCUAGCGUUGUUCGGAUUUAUUGGGCGUAAAGCGCGCGCAGGCGGUCCUUUAAGUCUGAUGUGAAAGCCCACGGCUCAACCGUGGAGGGUCAUUGGAAACUGGGGGACUUGAGUACAGAAGAGAAGAGUGGGAUUCCACGUGUAGCGGUGAAAUGCGUAGAGAUGUGGAGGAACACCAGUGGCGAAGGCGACUCUUUGGUCUGUAACUGACGCUGAGGCGCGAAAGCGUGGGGAGCAAACAGG